RNAcentral lists this ribosomal RNA (458 nucleotides) under uncultured bacterium. RNAcentral describes it as "partial 16S ribosomal RNA". It matches the Rfam family "Bacterial small subunit ribosomal RNA", at positions 338 to 795 of the family's 1533-position model. The record is from RNAcentral.
CCUUCGGGGGGCAGCAGUGGGGAAUAUUGCACAAUGGGGGAAACCCUGAUGCAGCGACGCCGCGUGAGUGAAGCAGUAUUUCGGUAUGUAAAGCUCUAUCAGCAGGGAAGAAAUAGCGACCUUUGGGUCGCCAGACGGUACCUGACUAAGAAGCCCCGGCUAACUACGUGCCAGCAGCCGCGGUAAUACGUAGGGGGCAAGCGUUAUCCGGAUUUACUGGGGGUAAAGGGAGAGUAGACGGCAGCACAAGGCUGAAGUGAAAUGCCGGGGCUUAACCCCGGAACUGCUUUGGAAACUGUGCAGCUAGAGUGCAGGAGAGGUAAGUGGAAUGCCUAGUGUAGCGGUGAAAUGCGUAGAUAUUAGGAGGAACACCAGUGGCGAAGGCGGCUUACUGGACUGUAACUGACGUUGAGGCUCGAAAGCGUGGGGAGCAAACAGGAUUAGAUACCCUGGUAGUC